UGGGGAAUAUUGCACAAUGGGCGCAAGCCUGAUGCAGCCAUGCCGCGUGUGUGAAGAAGGCCUUCGGGUUGUAAAGCACUUUCAGCGGGGAGGAAGGCGAUAAGGUUAAUAACCUUGUCGAUUGACGUUACCCGCAGAAGAAGCACCGGCUAACUCCGUGCCAGCAGCCGCGGUAAUCCGGAGGGUGCAAGCGUUAAUCGGAAUUACUGGGCGUAAAGCGCACGCAGGCGGUCUGUCAAGUCGGAUGUGAAAUCCCCGGGCUCAACCUGGGAACUGCAUUCGAAACUGGCAGGCUAGAGUCUUGUAGAGGGGGGUAGAAUUCCAGGUGUAGCGGUGAAAUGCGUAGAGAUCUGGAGGAAUACCGGUGGCGAAGGCGGCCCCCUGGGCAAAGACUGACGCUCAGGUGCGAAAGCGUGGGGAGCAAACAGG
This 429-nucleotide ribosomal RNA is filed under the name Chloroflexota bacterium. RNAcentral describes it as "Chloroflexi bacterium partial 16S ribosomal RNA". It matches the Rfam family "Bacterial small subunit ribosomal RNA", at positions 355 to 776 of the family's 1533-position model. The record is from RNAcentral. Lineage: Bacteria; Bacillati; Chloroflexota.